RNAcentral lists this ribosomal RNA (252 nucleotides) under uncultured bacterium. RNAcentral's name for it is "partial 16S ribosomal RNA". It matches the Rfam family "Bacterial small subunit ribosomal RNA", at positions 524 to 776 of the family's 1533-position model. The record is from RNAcentral.
UACGUAGGGUGCGAGCGUUGUCCGGAAUUACUGGCGUAAAGAGCUCGUUGGUGGUUUGUCGCGUUGUCCGUGAAAACUCACAGCUCAACUGUGGGCGUGCGGGCGAUACGGGCAGACUGGAGUACUGCAGGGGAGACUGGAAUUCCUGGUGUAGCGGUGGAAUGCGCAGAUAUCAGGAGGAACACCGGUGGCGAAGGCGGGUCUCUGGGCAGUAACUGACGCUGAGGAGCGAAAGCGUGGGGAGCGAACAGG